AUACCACGGUGAGGGCACUACCUAAGUAACUCUUUAAAUCUUUCCCAAACUUCGAAAAGUGACUCGUCAUCUCCUUGCCGGAAUAAGGUAAUUUCAUUUCUCAUCUU
Vicia villosa (hairy vetch) is the source of this 107-nucleotide small nucleolar RNA. NCBI's taxonomy places the organism in Eukaryota, Viridiplantae, Streptophyta, Magnoliopsida, Fabales, Fabaceae. The record is from RefSeq and is a predicted model, not a curated record.